This 494-nucleotide ribosomal RNA is filed under the name uncultured bacterium. RNAcentral's name for it is "partial 16S ribosomal RNA". It matches the Rfam family "Bacterial small subunit ribosomal RNA", at positions 28 to 507 of the family's 1533-position model. The record is from RNAcentral.
GACGAACGCUGGCGGCGUGCCUAAUACAUGCAAGUAGAACGCUGAAGGAGGAGCUUGCUUCUCUGGAUGAGUUGCGAACGGGUGAGUAACGCGUAGGUAACCUGCCUGGUAGCGGGGGAUAACUAUUGGAAACGAUAGCUAAUACCGCAUAAAGUAGAUGUUGCAUGACAUUUGCUUAAAAGGUGCAAUUGCAUCACUACCAGAUGGACCUGCGUUGUAUUAGCUAGUUGGUGGGGUAACGGCUCACCAAGGCGACGAUACAUAGCCGACCUGAGAGGGUGAUCGGCCACACUGGGACUGAGACACGGCCCAGACUCCUACGGGAGGCAGCAGUAGGGAAUCUUCGGCAAUGGACGGAAGUCUGACCGAGCAACGCCGCGUGAGUGAAGAAGGUUUUCGGAUCGUAAAGCUCUGUUGUAAGAGAAGAACGAGUGUGAGAGUGGAAAGUUCACACUGUGACGGUAUCUUACCAGAAAGGGACGGCUAACUACGUG